This 440-nucleotide ribosomal RNA is filed under the name uncultured bacterium. RNAcentral describes it as "partial 16S ribosomal RNA". It matches the Rfam family "Bacterial small subunit ribosomal RNA", at positions 338 to 795 of the family's 1533-position model. The record is from RNAcentral.
CCUACGGGUGGCAGCAGUAGGGAAUAUUGCUCAAUGGGGGAAACCCUGAAGCAGCAACGCCGCGUGGAGGAUGAAGGUUUUCGGAUUGUAAACUCCUUUUGUUAGAGAAGAUAAUGACGGUAUCUAACGAAUAAGCACCGGCUAACUCCGUGCCAGCAGCCGCGGUAAUACGGAGGGUGCAAGCGUUACUCGGAAUCACUGGGCGUAAAGAGCGCGUAGGCGGGAUAGCAAGUCAGAUGUGAAAUCCUAUGGCUUAACCAUAGAACUGCAUUUGAAACUGUUAUUCUAGAGUAUGGGAGAGGGAGGUGGAAUUCUGGGGGGAGGGGUAAAAUCCGAAGAGAUAAAGAGGAAUACUCAGGGAGAAGGCGACCUGAAAGAACAAAACGGACGAUGAGGCGAGAAGGCGUGGGGAGAAAACAGGAUUAGACACCCAAGUAGCC